CCAGACUCCUACGGGAGGCAGCAGUGGGGAAUAUUGCACAAUGGGGGAAACCCUGAUGCAGCAACGCCGCGUGAGUGAAGAAGUAUUUCGGUAUGUAAAGCUCUAUCAGCAGGGAAGAAAAUGACGGUACCUGACUAAGAAGCCCCGGCUAACUACGUGCCAGCAGCCGCGGUAAUACGUAGGGGGCAAGCGUUAUCCGGAUUUACUGGGUGUAAAGGGAACGUAGACGGCAUGGCAAGUCAGAUGUGAAAGCCCGUGGCUCAACCCCGGGACUGCAUUUGGAACUGUAAGGCUAGAGUGUCGGAGAGGCAGGCGGAAUUCCUAGUGUAGCGGUGAAAUGCGUAGAUAUUAGGAGGAACACCAGUGGCGAAGGCGGCCUGCUGGACGAUGACUGACGUUGAGGCUCGAAAGCGUGGGGAGCAAACAGGAUUAGAUACCCUAGUAA
Molecule: ribosomal RNA, 445 nt
Filed under: uncultured bacterium
Lineage: Bacteria
Description: bacterial SSU rRNA
Rfam family: Bacterial small subunit ribosomal RNA
Source: RNAcentral